This 313-nucleotide unclassified non-coding RNA is filed under the name Hevea brasiliensis (rubber tree). Lineage: Eukaryota; Viridiplantae; Streptophyta; Magnoliopsida; Malpighiales; Euphorbiaceae. The record is from RNAcentral.
AAGAUCUUAGCUUUUCCAUCAUAAAUAUCAUAAGUUUGUUUUUUGAAACGCUCCCAUGCAAUCUUCAUGCUAUUUAAUGAUAGGGUUGUACGUGGUUCGGUUCAGGGAUAAAAAGAAAAAUCCCCGAAAUCAAAUAGAAUUGAAAUUUUAAUUCAGUCCUCUGUUCUCAAAUCAUCAAAAGAAAAACUGAAUCAAACCGAAAUUCAGUUUAUUUUUUCAAUUCCCCCCUCAAGUAAAAGGAAUAGUAAAAUUUUUAGAUAAGUCAACCCCUUAUAAUCAAUUUGGUGAAUGUGGUACAAAUCCCACAAAUUUG